Molecule: ribosomal RNA, 456 nt
Filed under: uncultured Pseudomonas sp.
Lineage: Bacteria; Pseudomonadati; Pseudomonadota; Gammaproteobacteria; Pseudomonadales; Pseudomonadaceae
Description: bacterial SSU rRNA
Rfam family: Bacterial small subunit ribosomal RNA
Source: RNAcentral
CACAAGCGGUGGAUGAUGUGGAUUAAUUCGAUGCAACGCGAAAACCUUACCUACCCUUGACAUGUCCGGAAUCCGAAGAGAUUUGGGAGUGCUCGCAAGAGAGCCGGAACACAGGUGCUGCAUGGCUGUCGUCAGCUCGUGUCGUGAGAUGUUGGGUUAAGUCCCGCAACGAGCGCAACCCUUGUCAUUAGUUGCUACAUUCAGUUGGGCACUCUAAUGAGACUGCCGGUGACAAACCGGAGGAAGGUGGGGAUGACGUCAAGUCCUCAUGGCCCUUAUAGGUGGGGCUACACACGUCAUACAAUGGAUGGUACAAAGGGUCGCCAACCCGCGAGGGGGAGCCAAUCCCAUAAAGCCAUUCGUAGUCCGGAUCGCAGUCUGCAACUCGACUGCGUGAAGUCGGAAUCGCUAGUAAUCGUGGAUCAGAAUGUCACGGUGAAUACGUUCCCGGGUCUU